RNAcentral lists this long non-coding RNA (665 nucleotides) under Musa acuminata (dwarf banana). RNAcentral's name for it is "long non-coding RNA (MACU_LNC002224)". The record is from RNAcentral. Lineage: Eukaryota; Viridiplantae; Streptophyta; Magnoliopsida; Zingiberales; Musaceae.
AUAAACAUAUCAUCAGCUUGAUCAGGAUGAUGAAGAGAAUUGCUUGAGUUUGGAAUGUUACAUAACCAAGAUUAGGUCACUAGUGGACAUCAACUAAGCGACACAUGCAUGCCCAACCAAAAGCCAUUCAAACCUUGUAAUCAACCUACUCCACAUCGUCUCUUUGCAUCGGCUAACUCACUUGGGAGGUGGUCCGGCGGCCAUGGGUGGCGCAGGCGGUCCGUAGUACAUAGGCGUCGACUCCGUCCUGCCCUUUCUCCGGCCGAGUAGGUAGCAAGCAAGGGCCAGGAUCGCCACCAGCAGAAUCAACGGCACCGAUAUAACCACCACGAACCCCAUCUUCUUCUUCCUCCUCCGCCACUCGACCUCGUUAGCACAUCAGCAUGCGCACAAAUCUACCACGGAAAUAUGGCUGAAGAAAACGAAAUAAACCGCUAACACGACAUACCUCUUCGGAUGGGGCAGGAGAGCACCACCUGAGAUCGCAGGUUUCCUUCUUCCUCUGUGACUGUGGACAGGUGAGAGAGAGAAGAAGAAGGAAUGGGGUUAUCGGUUGGCCAUCGUUUAAAGAACACAAAAGCGAUGGCAGACACCAGAUGGCGUUUGCUCAUGGAAGACUUGGAUGACUUCUCUUCUACUCGGACAACGACAACUGUGACAACAGC